Molecule: long non-coding RNA, 202 nt
Filed under: Nicotiana benthamiana
Lineage: Eukaryota; Viridiplantae; Streptophyta; Magnoliopsida; Solanales; Solanaceae
Description: long non-coding RNA (NBEN_LNC039544)
Source: RNAcentral
UGUAAUAACAUGUAAUAAAACCUUUGGUAAUGGCUAGUGAAAAAUAAGGAGUAAUCAUGCAUGUAAAAAUGGAUAGAUAUCCUGUUCAUAGGGAAUUUUUGAUUUCUGCAUAACACAUAGAUAUCUAUUCUUAAGGAAUUUCUAAUUUCUGAUUUCUGCAUAACACAUAGAUAUCCUGUUGAUAGGGAAUUUCUAAUUUCUG